GUGAGGAAUUUUGCGCAAUGGGGGCAACCCUGACGCAGCGACGCCACGUGGAGGACGAAGUCUUUCGGGAUGUAAACUCCUGUCAGUGGGGACGAUAAUGACGGUACCCACAGAGGAAGCACCGGCUAACUCCGUGCCAGCAGCCGCGGUAAGACGGAGGGUGCAAGCGUUGUUCGGAAUUACUGGGCGUAAAGCGUAUGUAGGCGGCAAGUUAAGUUCAAUGUUAAAGCCCACGGCUCAACCGAGGAGAUGCAUUGAAUACUGGCUAGCUAGAGGGUGUUAGAGGAAGACGGAAUUCCCAGUGUAGCGGUGAAAUGCGUAGAUAUUGGGAGGAACAUCGGUAGCGAAAGCGGUCUUCUGGGACAUACCUGACGCUGAGGUACGAAAGCGUGGGGAGCAAACGGGAUUAGAUACCCGGGUAGUCC
RNAcentral lists this ribosomal RNA (425 nucleotides) under uncultured bacterium. Its description in RNAcentral is "bacterial SSU rRNA". It matches the Rfam family "Bacterial small subunit ribosomal RNA", at positions 354 to 796 of the family's 1533-position model. The record is from RNAcentral.